RNAcentral lists this ribosomal RNA (255 nucleotides) under uncultured bacterium. RNAcentral's name for it is "partial 16S ribosomal RNA". It matches the Rfam family "Bacterial small subunit ribosomal RNA", at positions 524 to 777 of the family's 1533-position model. The record is from RNAcentral.
UACGUAGGUGGCAAGCGUUGUCCGGAUUUACUGGGCGUAAAGAGCGCGCAGGCGGUUCGUUCAAGUCGCGUGUGAAAGCCCCCGGCUCAACUGGGGAGGGUCACGCGAUACUGAUCGACUGGAAGGCAGGAGAGGGUAGUGGAAUUCCCGGUGUAGUGGUGAAAUGCGUAGAUAUCUGGAGGAAUACCGGUGGCGAAGGCGGCAUCCUGGACCGACAUUGACGCUGAGGAGCGAAAGCCAGGGGAGCAAAGCGGG